Molecule: long non-coding RNA, 5208 nt
Filed under: Nicotiana tabacum (common tobacco)
Lineage: Eukaryota; Viridiplantae; Streptophyta; Magnoliopsida; Solanales; Solanaceae
Description: long non-coding RNA (NTAB_LNC000132)
Source: RNAcentral
UUCAGUUUGUCUAUCUUCCUCCCUCAAGUAGGAGGGAGGCGAAGACACACCCAACUUGCCAAUAAUAGAUCAAUGAGCCUGUCCUGACAAAGGCUUGGUAAAGAUGUUGGCAAUUUGGAGACGCGAAGGAAGAUAAGACAGAGAAAUAAUGCCGGCGAGAAACUGUUGUCGGACAAAAUGGCAAUCCAGCUCCAUGUGCUUAGUACGCUCAUGAAAUACUAGAUUCUUUGCAAUGUGAAUCGCCGCUUGGCUAUCAGAGUGAAGAGUCACUGGCAAAGAUGGCGUAAUAGACAAAUCUUCAAAUAAUCGAACCAACUAGGUAAUUUCUGCUACUACCCUUCUCAUCGAACGAUAUUCUGCUUCAGCGGACGAUAAAGAAACUAAGGUUGUUUCUUUGACUUCUAGGAAAUCGGUGAACCCCCAAAAUUGAUGUAGAAUCCACUGAUUGAAUGACGUGAUUCUGGGCAAGAACCCCAAUCGGAAUUGCAAAAGGCAACAAGAGGCAAAGAUGGAACGGAAUUCAUGAAAAUCCCCAAACUUGGGUCCACAAGAAGAUACCUCAAACAAUGAAAAGCUGCAUCCAAAUGAGGUUGUCGAGGAGCCUGCAUGUAUUGGCUCAGGUGCUGAACUGCGAAAGACAGAUCAUGAUGUGUAUGAAUUAGGAAAUUCAACUUUUCUAAGAGUCAGCGGAAGAAAAUAGGAUCUAAUAUCAGUUCUCAUUCAUCAGCCCUAAGCUUACGGGUGGGAUCAAUGGGCGAGGAAGUAGGCUUCAAAUCAAGACAUCCAAACUCAGUCAAUAUAAAGCGUUUCUGAGUCAAAAUUAAUCCCAGCGGAUCACGUAUAAUUUUCAUGCCUAAGAAAUAGUGAGUAUGCCCAAAUCCUUGAUUUUAAAUUCAGCAUGAAGAAAUUCCUUUAGCUGAACUUGUUCAAUUGGAUCAUCCCCUAUAAUUAGAAUGUCAUCCACAUAUACUGUGAUGAGAAUAAUCUUCCCAUCUGAUUUAAAGUUCAAAGCUGCAGUUAGCCUGACAUACCACUGUUUUGAGGCUUGCCGCAGUUCAUAAAGUGACUUCCUUAAAAGACAGACAUGAUUAGGGGAAGGUGGUGAUAUUCCUGGUGGAAACUUCAUAAACACUUCUUCCUGCAAAUCACCAUGCAGGAAGGCAUUAUUGACGUCUAGUUGAAAUAAAUCCCAUCCUUUCUUGACUGCUAUUGCAAGAUUACACCUAAUAAUUGUCAUCUUAACCACCGGUGAAAAAGUCUCCAUGAAAUAAAUUUCUUCUCUUUGUGUGUCUCCUCUAAUGACCAAACGAGCUUUGAACCUUUCUAAAGAACCAUCAGAUUUAUAUUUUACCUUGUAAAUUCAUUUACAAGGUAGAGCCCCUUCCCUGUAGGCAAAGGAAUAAAAUCGCAACUCUUAUUUGCCUCAAAUUCUUUAGCCAUAGCCUCCUACCAACCUGGGUGAAGUGAUACUUAAGAGUAGAAUAUUGGCUCAGAUAUAUAUGAAAUAGAUUUGAGCAUGAUUUGAUUUGUGGGAGAAAGAGCACAAAAAGGCAAUACAAUUGAUUUAAUAGGUGCAAAGAAACAAGAAUCAGUAAGGUUAGUAAGAAAAACAUAAUUGCAUACAUAAUUAUUAAGAUAAACAUGGGGUCUUAUUUGUUCUGAUAAAUUUUCUGAUUUCAGGUAACAGAAGACAAACAAUAUUCAGAAGAGGUGAAUGAGAAUGAGUAAUUGAGAUAUGUGACGUAGGAUAGAUAAGAGAACUUCUAGCAAAUGGUAUUGGUGACUGGGAGUAGAUAGUUGAAAGUGGUGAAUAAGAACCAUGCAUGGUGAACCCCUAGCAAUAGAGUCAUGGUUGGAAAAAGUGGUAGUAGGUGAAGAAGGAAACUCAGAAAUAGGAACUCCAUGCUGAGAAGGCAAUGUAGGAAAAAGAGGUUGAUUUCUCACUUUAGAAAAAAAAGGAAAAAUGAAUUCAUGAAAUUUAACAUCACUAGAAACAAAAAGUUUCAUGUUUUGUAAAUUUAAAAACUUGUAACCCUUCUUCCCAAAAGAAUAUAAAGACACAAGGGACUGACCUUGGGUCAAGUUUACUUAUGUGAUGUGGUAAAGUGCUAGCAUAGACAAGGCAACCAAAACUCUUAAGAGAGUGAUACUGUAACACCCAGGAAAAUUUUGAAGAAUUUAAGUGUAAAGUCCGGUAAAAUUUGCAAAGAAAAUAUUGUUUCAUGGUGCCGGACCUUUUGGGUUGAACAAUGCACGGAAAAGUAAAGAAAUAUUUUUGGCGGAAAAGUGUAUUUCUACGGUCCAUUAUGCGACCGCAGAAUCACUCUGCGGACCGCAUAAUGGCCGCAAAGUGAGGCAGUUAAUUGGGUCAGUUGAAAGCAAUUAUGCGGUCGACUAUGCGACCGCAUAACUGUUAUGCGAUGUACUAUGCGACCGCAGAACAGUUAUGUGGACCGCAUAGUGACCGCAGACUCAGGCAGAUUUUUGGUCAUUUUGGACACCAAUUAUGCGACCGAUAUGCGGUCGCAUAUGCAACCGCAGAACCUGUUCCGGAGCUUCAUUUUUGAAUUUUUAAAACCCGACCCUAUUUCGUUAAAUACACUCUUUGGGUUAUUUUUGAGGUAUAAUAUGAUAUUUUAGAGUGAGAGAGAGUGCCCUAGAGUGAGAAGGUAUUCCUCAAUAAUUGAUUCUUCAAUUCUUGCUCAAGUUUUGGAAGAUUAAGGAGGGAAACUCACUAGGUCUUCAUCCUAGAGGUAAGAUUCUAUACCCUAACCCUCAAUUUCAAAUUUUGUCUAGAAAUGGGCAAUAAGCAAGAUAAUUUCUGGGCAAGAGGGUUAUUUAUUUUACAUGCAUGUGUUAUCAAAGGGUGUAGAAAGAUUGUUGAGCUAAAAAUGGUAAAGAUUGGGUUGUGGGAUGAUGGAAUCCUCCAUAAAAGGACCUUGAACCUUAAUCCACACUUAGUGUUUGACGAAAUGCUAAAAUAAGCUGAGACCAUGAAUAUCUUCCUAAUUAUGGUUCAAUUUUGUUAUGUCUCAAAUAGAUUGGGAUUGCUAAAAUUUCUGGAAUAUUAUAGUAAUUUAAGAAAAGCUCAAUUAAGGUAUGUUGGCUAAAUUUUCUCUCUUGGAAUUGAAUUCCAUAAUAUUUAUGUGAGUUUCAAAGUAUGGGUUGGGUAUUAAAAUGUGGUGGCUUGAAUCGUAUUUCAAAUGAAAGUUAGUAUGCCAAAUUGUGUGAGAAAAUCUCAAUAUUCUUAAGACUCUUAAUUGCUCAUAUGUGUACCUAAAUUCUUGAUUGGGAAUGUCUUAUUGUUUAUAACCUAUAAAGAUGGUUGGAAGUAAAAUCAGUAAAUUGAGAAUAUAAAGUGUGACCAACGUGCCAAUAGUGAAAGUUAUACUUGUGACCAAUGGUGCCAAUGAAAUGAAAUAAUGUGAGAAAGAUUAUGAAAUGAGUUUUGACUCAACUAUUUCAAAAUUGACUUCGACAAUAUAAUCGGCUAAAAUUUUAUGAACUCAAGUGAUGCCCAUAUGCGGUUGUUAUAGCUAAUGCUAUGCUUUAUAAGUAAUUUUCAAUGUGUUUUGCGUUCUUACAUAUUCGUGAGUGGAAAUUGUGUAUGAUUUUAUCUUGUACUUCAAUUGCCAAUCAUUUUACUCCAUUUAUUGGAAAGAAAUCGAUUGUGUUUAAAGCCUUCAUUACUAAUGAAUUUAAAGUUGUGAUUUCUGGAAUAUUCUAUUUGUUGAUAAUUAUGAUGAUGAUCUAUGAAAGGAAAGAAAUAAAAGUGUGGAAUAUGAAAUACGGCUAUUGCGCCAUGAACAAAGGAUCAUAUGAAUGGACAAGAGAUCCAAUGAAAUAAUAAUGGUGUAAGUUGUUGAAAGUACGGAUUAGGUGAUAUGUGGUGUGAAAGGUUAUGAGAUGUACGUAUUUGUACUUUUGUUUCCAAUGUGUUAUGAAACCCUAUGGACGGUCUAUGAAACGCAUAUGUAUAUUGUGUUAUGAAACCCUGUGGACGGUCUAUGAAACACAUAGGUAUAUUGUGUUAUGAAAUCCUGUGGACAGUCUAUGAAACGCAUAGGUACAUCAUGUUAUGAAGUACAUUGUGUUAUGAAAUCCUGUGGAUGGUCUAUAAAAUACAUAGGUACAUUGUGUUAUGAAAUCCUGUGGACGGUCUAUGAACGCAUAGGUACAUUGUGAUAUGAAAUCCUGUGGACGGUCUAUGAACGCAUAAGUACAUUGUGUUAUAAAAUUCAUUGUGAUAUGAAAUCCUGUGGACGGUCUAUGAAACGCAUAGGUGCAUUGUGUAUAAGAGGUAUAGAUGUGCGGUAUGAAUAAACACUAUGGACGGUCUAUGAAAUGCAUAAGUGUAUAAUAUGAUAUGUGAACACUAAGGACGGUCUAAUGAGUCACAUUAUUAAUGCAGGCAAUAGGUGCCCCUUUUGUUGUCUUUGUUUGUACAGGUUGUUUCAAUUACAUUAUAUUAUGUGUUCUACGUAUAGAUCAUAUGGGCAUUCUAUUUUGAAAGAGGAUUUCUAGCUAUACAUACUAGUGCUAUUCGACAGUACUAACGUCCCUUUUGUCGGGGGCACUGCAUCUUUAAUGGAUGCAGGUGAUUCUACAGCAGGUGACAUUGAUCAGUGAUAGCAGUACACUCCUUUCAGCUGAUUUGGUGAGCCCCACUUCAUUUCGAGAUCAUGUAUCUUUUGUUUCUCAUGUACUUUGUGGUUGAAGUAUAGCCGGGGCCUUGUUGCCGACAUUUCCAUAUUACUCUUCUGUUGUACUUAGAGGCUCCGUAGACAGGUUGUGGGUGAUAUUUGAUAUUGGGAAUUGGAUUAGAACUGUUGGUAUUUGGCAACAUAUUUUUCAUUAAAUCUAUAAACUCGUCCUAUUUUGGAAAUAUUGAAUGAUACUGUUAAUGGGAAUGAAAUGGAAGCGGUUAAUGAAAUCUCUUUAGUAUUUGAUUAACGGAGUACGUCUCCUCUUUAUUCACGAAUGAUUUUGGGUAGAAUGAAAUCUAACAGGCUUGCUCAGUCGGAUUCACUCGGUUGAGCUUCGGCCGCGCUUCUCGGUUUUGGGGCGUGACAGAUACGAAGGUGGAAUUCCAAAUAAAAUCUCGAAGUGGCUUUUGAGCUUAAGAACCUUGGAAGGGAACCUAUUGAUGAGAUAUGUGGCUAUUAGAAAAUAUUCUCCCCAAAAAAUAAUAGAAAGUUUUGAUUGAUA